UCAGAAUGUUCUAAACCUAAAUCUUCCUUGCUAAUAUUUGGGCCCACUUCCACAUUUUUUUUUGUUGCCAAUUGGAGAACGAUUUUUGAUCACUUUUUAUUUUUAGGGCAAUUUUACCUGCAUUAUCUUAUUAUACACAUGCAAAUGCUUUUUGAAUAAGUAGGGCAUCAUAGGACAUUGGAAAGAGCACAGACUCUGACAGACCUGGCUAUGGAUCAGAAUUCUGUCACUCAAGCUAUAUGACUUUGGUCAAUUCAUUUCACCUCAUUGAAUCUCAGCUUCCCCGUCUGUAAAAUGGGGAUUGUUAUGCAUGUGUUACAAAGUUGCAUUAGGAACUAGACUAAUGUAUGUUAAGCAUUAGGCCAGUACUUGGAAUAUAGUGGAUGCUAGAUAAGUAGCUGCUAUUAUUAUUUUCCAUGUUUUACAGAUUAGGAAGCUGAAACACAGACAUAUUAAAUGGCCUUGGCCAGCUUUGGGGGGAUAAGGUUCCCAGUUAUUAUCGGAAAAUUGCAGCCUGACUUUUGAUCAAGCCUCACUGAGAAUGAGGUUGUAGGACACACAGAAAAGUUCAGAAGCAAAAAGUAUAGAAAAAUCAGUAACACCAAAGCAAGCAAAUAAUCAACAUGUAUUUAUUGAGCACCUUGUAAGCAUAUGGUAUUCUGUGCACAAGUUGGGGUACUUUGGAUUGCAAAUGGCCAAAUCCCAACUUGCACACACAAAAAGGAAAACUUAUUGGCUGGUGUAACCCAAACACAGGUUGUAGGGAACUGAUCAUAGAGAUGUCUGAAUUCAAUGUCAGGAACACUUUUAGGGCUUACACUCUCUAUUUCUGACAAGAGUUUCUAUUUCUAUUUCUGACAAGGUUAUCUUUGCAGAUAGCUGUCUCUAUGCCAUGGGGAACAUGGCUUCCAAUAACUUUGGUCUCUCAUCUUUUCCUAGAAGCUCUUCUACCAGCAAAGAAAGAGGAUUUCUUCCCAUUUGGCUCCAGCCUGGAAACAAUCCCAAGAAUGACUUGUAUUGGAUCAAUGGAGGUUGCAUACUCCCUCCCAAACUGCACACCAAGCCAGGAAGAUGGGGUAAUAUGAUUGGUCCAAUCAAGAGUUCAUGUCGACCCUUAUCAUUAAGGUGUUGGUUUUAUUUUUUUAUCUUCAUGGAAGGAAGUUUAUUGGAGCAAGCAAAGAUAGUAACCUUUAUCUUAUAUGAGAUGUAAUAAAGAAAUUAAUAUUUUAAUGGUAGAGUUGGUUUAAAGAGCCAAAAGACUAGAAUCUCAGGAUGUCUAGCUAAGAUACUACAGGGCCCAGGUGGACAUGUCAUGUGGAUUUUUCAGCCAAAAAGGGAAACUUACCAUAUUUUUGCCUCCCAAUGUAUUAGCUCAUAGAGUACAGACUUAAAUUUAUUUCUUAACAUGCAUGUCUUUUAAUGGAGAAAGUUACAGACACUUGGGUACUAUCUUAGAAAAAGCAGAACUCUUAGGGGCACGUGGGUGGCUCAGUCAUUUAAGUGACUGACUCCUAAUUGAUUCUGGCUCCUAUUGAUUUUGGCUUAGGUCAUGAUCUCACAGUUGUGAGACUGAGCCCUGAUUUGGGCUCUGCAAUGAGCAUGGAGCCUGCUUGGGAUAUUCUCUCUCUCUCUCUCUCUCUCUCUCCUCUCUCUCUCUCUCUCCCUCUCCCCCUCUCCCCCUCUCCCUCCCUCCCUCCCUCCCUCCCCCUCUCUCAAAUAAAUAAAUAAACUAGAAAGAAAAGAAAAGAAAAAGCACAACUCUCUGAGAGGGUGGCUGGAGGCUGGACCACAGACUGACUUCCUGUCCUUUGAAAAAGUCCUGGGGGAAAUGCAUUAUUCUAACAGCUUGCUUAAUGCGUUUGCUUCCUGUGGAGAGGGGUUGGGGGUAGGAACUCAAAGCAGACUUAUAAAUUGAGUUCUAUAGUGCAGGGACUUCUCCAAAACUCUCGGCUGGGUUUAUUUAAGACACUGAACUGUUUGCUGUUGGCUCCAGUAUUUCAGUGUCCACUCACUAUUUCGUUCAUAGGAGAACAUGGUAUUAUAUUAGAGAUAUGGGGAGAUCAUGACUGGGGGAGGAGACUGUUUUGACUUUUUAUGCCAAAAUCAACAUUCCCCGCUCAUGUCACAGGAGCCCCAGAGCCUCCUGUCAUCUGGGCUCUCCAUUCAAGGUUACCUUGAUUACUUUCAAGGCUUUAGUCAUGAAUCUUUCUUAACUGUUUUUACCUCAAAAUAGUGUCUUUAACAACUCACUGUUGCUUUUUUCUGUGUCAAAAUUAGAAGUAUCCCAACUGUUUUCCAGCACCAAAUUCUUUCCUCUUUCACCUCUCUGGGAAACUAACUCCAUCCAUUAUGCCAACUUCUGUUUACAUCUUCGAUUACCCCUUUGCUGCACCUUUCUCCACACAUCUACCUACAGGACUGUCCCCUUGAGAUAUCAUCAAAAGAGAUAAUGAAUGUGGGUGUACUCUAUGACUGUAAAGUGUAAUAUAAAUAUGGAAUAACAUCAUUAUCUUAUCUUUCUUAACAGUCAUCUCAAAAAAUUAUCAAUGUAAUGUAUUUCUUGACUUUACUUUCUCACUAUCAACUCAUUACUUAAUGUCUUAAAAGCUGAUGUGUCGUAAUGUGUUGAGGAUGGGAGGGCGGGGGCAGGUGUCCAUAUCUUUGAGUCUUCUUCCAGUAUGUGGCACAUUUGACUCUGCCCUCCUCUUUCAGUGUCUGUAACUCACUGCUUUGGUUCACCUCUCUGAGUACUCUUCUCUCUCCUUUAAUGCCCAUCUUUUUCCUUCUGCCUCUGAAUGGGAGUUGUCUCUAUCAUUCUGUUCUUGCUCCUACUUACCCUGCCCCCUCUCUUUUGUUCUCAUAAGUACUUGUUAAAACAAAUCUCAUCUCUGUCUCUUCCCUUCAACCUGUUAAAUGCCCACUGUAAUUUUAACCUACAUAUCUCACUAGCCCCAAACAUGAGGUAUAUAAAAUAAACUCUUACCCCAUCCUAAAUAUCUUCCACCCCAUCUCAGCCAACAGUGUUACUUUUUAGUCACGUAGGCUUGAAACCUUGGUUCCUGUUUUGAUUCCUUGCUCUCUUAUCCCUGAAUCCAAUUUAAGCUAUAUUUUAAGAAUAUAUUAUUCUGUUCACCUGUCUUCACUCUGUCUCUGCCUUCUGCCUUCUCUUUCUUCAGGCAGUGAUAGUUCAAGCUGCUGGGAUAGCACACCGUCUUACUUUGCUUUUGGUAAGGUUGUCCAGAAGUAUUUUGUGGCCAUACUUUUUUUCUCUUCCUCAUUCUGGAUUCUUUCCCUUUUCUGAACUGAAUAACCAUUUGAACUUUAUUCAUAAAGAUCACUAAAUCUUUUUCUACACUAAUACCUUUCUCAAAACCUAAAUAUAGGGGCGCCUGGGUGGCGCAGUCGGUUAAGCGUCCGACUUCAGCCAGGUCACGAUCUCGCGGUCUGUGAGUUCGAGCCCCGCGUCGGGCUCUGGGCUGAUGGCUCAGAGCCUGGAGCCUGUUUCCGAUUCUGUGUCUCCCUCUCUCUCUGCCCCUCCCCCGUUCAUGCUCUGUCUCUCUCUGUCCCAAAAAUAAAUAAACGUUGAAAAAAAAAAUAUAUAUAUAUAUAAAAAAAAAAAACCUAAAUAUAUACUAACAUGUUUAGAAUGGCCUGUAUAACAUGUCUAGUUAAGUAACAGGUGUAAGCUGACCAUUGUUUAUAAGCAUUGACAUGAAAAAAAUACAUUUCAUAGCUAUGUGUUUUAUUAGUAUAAUUUGACAUCUUCAAAUAUAAUCAGUAACUUCAUAUUAGGAUAUCAUUUCAACCAUAUUUGAUUUAGAAAGCUAAAGUUUGGAAGAUCUAAUGAUGGGCUAGUAAAUGUAUAUUAAACAUAUUGCUUAAGUUUUUAUACAUUUCUAGCAAUCAUCAGCAUAUAAUUCCAGUUUAUGUGUAAACUCAUCAGAAAUAUCACUUCAAUCUCUAGGACUCGUGUCCUCUUACUUUAUUUCUGCAUAUCCUAUUAAUAAGGAAUGAUUAAGGACAGCUUUAGUUUUCUCAGUUUCAACCUUAAAGAUGUAUAUGGUAACAAUAGCAUACUGUGUAACUGUUAAAAAAAAAUCUAGAAGCUCCUUAUGUGUUUAUAUGGAAAGAUCUCUGUUAUAAACUGGGUGUGUCUCCCAUCCCCCCAAUUCCUGUGUUGUUGAAGCCUUAAACCUGAAUGUUAUGGUGUUUGGGGAGUAAUUGGGGUUAGAUGAGGUCAUAAAGAUGGGAUCGCAUCAGGGUGGGAUCACUGUUUUUAUAAUAACAGACACUGGAAGACAUACUGUUUCUCUCUCUCUAGUGAGGACACAGUGAGAAGGUGGCCAUCUGCAAGCCAGGGAGACAGCUCUCACCAGAACCCACCCAUACUGCCACCCUGACCUCAGAUUUCCAGUCUCCAGAACUGUGAGAAAAUAAACUUCUGUUGUUUAAGCCACAUAAUCUAUGGGGUUUUCUUAUGGUUGCCCAAGCUUAUUGAUACAAUCUCCAAGAUUUAUUUGUAGGUAGGGAAAAGGGGGUGCCAAAAGAGUGUAUCGUUGGGAUGAAGAAAAGAAAAGAGUCUAUACUUGUACUGGUUUGUAUAUCCAUUCUAAACGUCCUGGGAAUAAAUGAGAAACUAAUAAUGUUGUUUACUUUUUUGUGGGGCUAUAGGAACUUGACAGAGGACGGGGUGGAAAGGAACCUUUGCUGUAUAUCCUUCUCUAUCUUUUGAUGUUUGAACUAUGUGUAUGUGCCACCACUUCAGAAAACUAAAUAAAU
RNAcentral lists this long non-coding RNA (4779 nucleotides) under Lynx pardinus (Iberian lynx). The record is from RNAcentral. Lineage: Eukaryota; Metazoa; Chordata; Mammalia; Carnivora; Felidae.